AUGCGAUAACUAGUGUGAAUUGCAGAAUUCAGUGAAUCAUCGAGUCUUUGAACGCAACUUGCGGCCGCCGGCAUUCCGGCGGCCAUGCCUGUCCGAGCGCCACUACAACCCCUCAGGCCCCGUGCCUGGCGUUGGGGGGCUACCCUAACCUUAGGGUGGCCCCCCGAAACCUAGUGGCAGCGGCGCCCGCGGCGCGACGUGUGUAGUAAUUUCACUCUCACGAAGCCCCGGCGUCGCCCGCCGACAAGAACCCCAACCUCUCAUCAGGUUGGCCUCGGAUCAGGUAGGAUUACCCGCUGAACUUAA
Molecule: unclassified non-coding RNA, 306 nt
Filed under: uncultured Ascomycota
Lineage: Eukaryota; Fungi; Ascomycota
Description: partial contains 5.8S ribosomal RNA, internal transcribed spacer 2, and large subunit ribosomal RNA
Rfam family: 5.8S ribosomal RNA (bases 1-102)
Source: RNAcentral